ACGCACGCUGGCGGCGUGCUUAACACAUGCAAGUCGAACGGAAAGGCCUGCCUUUGUGGGGUGCUCGAGUGGCGAACGGGGGAGUAACACGUGAGUAGCCUGCCCUUUACUUUGGGAUAACUUCAGGAAACUGGGGCUAAUACCGGAUAGGAGCUCCUGCUGCAUGGUGGGGGUUGGAAAGUUUCGGCGGUUGGGGAUGGACUCGCGGCUUAUCAGCUUGUUGGUGGGGUAGUGGCUUACCAAGGCUUUGACGGGUAGCCGGCCUGAGAGGGUGACCGGCCACAUUGGGACUGAGAUACGGCCCAGACUCCUACGGGAGGCAGCAGUGGGGAAUAUUGCACAAUGGGCGGAAGCCUGAUGCAGCAACGCCGCGUGCGGGAUGACGGCCUUCGGGUUGUAAACCGCUUUCGCCUGUGACGAAGCGUGAGUGACGGUAAUGGGUAAAGAAGCACCGGCUAACUACGUG
This 466-nucleotide ribosomal RNA is filed under the name uncultured bacterium. RNAcentral's name for it is "partial 16S ribosomal RNA". It matches the Rfam family "Bacterial small subunit ribosomal RNA", at positions 29 to 507 of the family's 1533-position model. The record is from RNAcentral.